Molecule: long non-coding RNA, 6963 nt
Organism: Oenanthe melanoleuca
Lineage: Eukaryota; Metazoa; Chordata; Aves; Passeriformes; Muscicapidae
Exons: 3
Source: RefSeq, a predicted model, not a curated record
CCCGCCCAGCGCAGCGGGGCGGAGAGACGCGCCCGCCGCGGUCAAUGGGGAAGGCGGGCUGGCUGCUGGGCGCCGACUCUAGGAUGAGAAGAAGAGAAUUCACAACACAGAAUUCGUAUGAGCCAAAUUGCUAUGCCGGCAGAGCAGGGAAGAGAUUCUGGAUCCGCCUCUUAGAAGGAGGGCAGCCCGGGAUGAAUGCAGGCUUAUGCAAUAGAGCAGCCAGACUGCUGUGCUUAAAACACCGAGACACAGAUGACAUUGGGAUGAGAGGGGACACUUGCCACAAGCAGCUCACAAAAAUAAUAGACACUUGUUAAAAUUAAACACUUGGACCUUUUCCUUCUAAAGCAAGGGACUUUGUGGAUUGUAGCACAAGAAUUCAACUUCAUUCUUUAAAUGUCUAAGCUUCACCCUGACAGUGGAUGCCACAAAGACAGCAAGGCUGUCAGUAUACUUAGUGAAAUAUUUUUAGUCCCAGUUUUAAAUCAGAAAAACAAAAUGGCAGCAAACUCUGAGAAGGUGAAUUAAUUACUACACAAAGUGUAAAAGUUUGGUUGAAGUAUGAAAUAAUGAAAUUUUGUUGAAUAAAUCCUCACCAAAUGUUUGUCAAAAUUUCUGCUGAAUGAUUGUUCUAAGUCAUUUGUUUCCUCCAAACACAUAUCUGCUUUGUUCUUAGGUUAGAUUAGUUUCCUUAAACCCUACAAACAUGCAGUAUCAUUUGGACUAGUACAGAACAGAAUUGGUCUGGAUUUUUUCCUUAAUCUGAGUUUUCUCUAGGUUUUGGAAAUUUGUGUUUUUUAUUGCUGCCAUAGCAUGAGGUGUCUUCAGAACCUUUCCUAGAGAGUUUCUGUGCAGAUGGGUAAAUAUUUCCUGUUGAGACUUGUGGGCUGCUGAGAUGUAGUACAGACAUUCUUUUUUUGGUGAAAAAGAAAAUGUACAGUUAAUCAUGGCCUUGCAUUCUAGGAAGCAUCUCAGACCAUGACAGAAGCGUUUUCUGUAGUUUUCCUUUAACUACAAAGUUUUAGUUACUGAAUUUCCCAACAAUAAAAGUCUAUUCCUAUUGCUGAAAGAGGUUAGAUACUAUUCUGAUGUAAUGCAGAUGAUUUCUUCCUGUGUUCCUUGGGUCUGCCUCAGUGUCUGGAGAUUUGUUGUUAUUAGGCUGCCACAGGGGCAUUUGGAAGGCUGUUUAAGGCAUGUUUUGAAAGCAGGCAGUGUGAAUUACAAUGCAGUAGGCAGGAUGCACAAGUAUCACCUGUGUAACUACAGAAAGUUACACACAUCACAGAGAAGUACUGUUGCAAAGAGGGGGAAGUGCUCUCCUCAAUAUUUUUCUUAGCAGGAGUAUGUCCUCUUUCUGAGUGAUGCCUGGAAAAGAAGCAUUUGGAUGGUAGAAUUUCCCCAACCUUCUCUUCAUUCUGGUGGUAGAAUAGUGAUAAUAGGGUCACCAGAGGCUGAAGUUGAGAGGCUAAAAUAUCUGAAUGAGCCAUCAUUUUUUAUAGAUUCACUGCAGCUAUGUGGCUUGUGCAGGUAGAUUUAAAACAGAACUAGAAGGCCAGCAAAGAAUACCUCUUAGAAAAUCAGUGACUGCAGCUAGUAUUUUAAAACUUUCCAAAAUACUUUUCAAAAAAAUACAGCUGCCUGUAAGGCCUUUAAAUGGUAAUAUUCCUCUUUAUCGUUCUCCUAGUCUAUGAUAACUGCUUAUUUAUUACUUUUCUCGUUUUUUUUCCUCAAACCUUCCUUAGCCUAGACCUGCCCAGGCAGUGUGAACUUCCUCAUGUGAGCUGCUGGCUGAUUUUGAAUAUCCAUUCACCUCCGAGCUGGUUGAGGCUGCUCUCUGUCUUGCUGGAUCAGACUCUUGGCUCAUCUUUCAUAACUGCCAAGGUCUUUCAUAACCUCUGAUCUUUCAUAACCCCAAAUGCUCGCCAGUUCCUCUCACAUGCCUUUCGUAACCUACACACACGCCACGUGUUUAAUCUCGUCCUUUUGGAAUAGGCCCAUCCUGAUGAACCUGAAAUACAAGUGUUUCUUGGGUGCUUUGUCUGCCUCAAUCCUCCUGAGCCCCAGUCAGAUUUGUGUGGAUGUCAGAUUUCCUUCCCUGAGACAAUGAAUGCUCAGUGGAGGGGAAAACCUGUUCUCUCUGACCUCAGAGGAGAAAAGGGAGCCUGGUCAUGGAUUUCCUUCUCUCCCGGGGUGUGAAGCCCUAAUUGCCUUAUAGGUGUGGCUCAGCUGGGGGUGGCAGUCUCCUUCCCUUCCUGUCCUAAGCCUCAGCUGCUCCGUGUGCCCCAGGGGUCCCCACUGCUGUCUGCUCAGAGCAAAACCCAGCGUCACUCGCUGGGGAAUUGGUUUAAUUCUGCCUCAGCAGACAGCUUGCCAUUCUCUACUCCGACAGUGAUUGCAGGCUGCAGUGAUGCAAUAAAAUAGGUUGGAGUUUUGCAGAGAGAGGGUGACCUUGCUGGAUCUACCCGUCCUCAAAUGCCUUCCAGUGCACUUCACGGGUUUGAUGGAUCUUUGUCACUUCAUGGGUUUGAUGGAUGAUCUCCUAACGGAAUAAAAUGAAAGGACAAGUGUAUAACAGCUUUAAUAUAAACAGAGGGACAAAAAAAAAGAGGAAGAAAUCUUUUGCAAUUAUUAGCCUAAGUGUGAGUGUUUCCUCGGUGUGACAGCCAGAGGCUUGCUGCUGUGCUGUUAUUAAAGUGCACUUCAGUGGGAAUCCAUCCAGAUGGCUUUUUUACCCAGCAUAGGAUUAUAUUGGAUUAGUCAUAUAAAAUUGUUGUUUACCAUCUCUAGCCCUUUUCCCCAGAGCUUUUAUCAGGAAUCUCACAAAGCAUGUAGUUUGAGCUUGCCUUUAAGAGGGAACCCAGAUGAGCAAACUGCUCAUCUGUGCAAACUGCUUUCAUUUGUGCAAACUGCUACAAUGCUGUAGUUUAAUGUAAUCCUAAUGUUGCAAUGAGAGAUUUUAUACCUGAUAAAAGAGGCUGUUUGGCCCAGAGUUUCCUUUUGCCUACAAGAAGGGAAGUUAGAUUGUAAGGAGAUGCUCUUUCUUGUUGCUGGACUGCCCAGAAGAGCUGUGUUGAUCUCACUUCUGCUCCAUGAGAGACAAUCAGGAAUUCUGAACACUGGCACCGUUUUUCAUGAUGCUUACUAAUGUGGAAUUUAAGGCAUGAUGCUUGAUUAAUGCACUGUUCUGAGUGGUGUAUGAGACAUUUCCUGUGCUCUCUUUCUGUCCUGCAGAGCCAUACUCUUUACCAUCUUUCUUCUCUGUGUCCAGGGAUCACUGCUUAGGCACUGUCCACAUCUUCCCUCCUGCCACAAACUAACAAACUGUCUUAAACAUGCAGUGCAAGGCUCUCCCUUUAGAUCUACCCUGGGGAUUUGUUAUAACAAGGAAAUUUUUUUUCACUUCAAGACAGAUAGCUCUACUGGUAAAAUGGCAUCCUUCAAUUUUCUCUGGAGUUUUCAGACUGGCUCUGCCAUCCUGGGAAAUCUUCCUUUCCAGGAAGUAUGGCUGCAAGAAAUUUCCUGAGGUGUGAGUGCUUUGAUCCUAGACUGAGAGAUGAUUUUCUUCUCUGUAGGGGGUUCUGUCACAAGGUAAUACAGUCCCAAGCUGUUAUUCUUUUCUCUAGACCACGACUGUGGUUGUGAAAUAAAGAGGUAGUUUUCCCUGGCUUUGAAGGGAGAAGCAGCAGUCUGCCACAUGCAUGUCAGUAUUGUUUUUUGAUCCACUGAAAACACUGAACAUUAUCCACUGAAAACAACCUAGUGUUAUAACUUGAUGUUUCUAUCACUGAAGGGGAUACAGAACUUCUGCCAGUAUGCUAUGACAGGGAUGCAUGUAGCCUAGUUUGAUUUGAUAAAUAUUGCUUCUGGUUUUGUCAGCAUUAAGAUUAAAUUUACUUUCUUAUAUAUUACAAGAAAGUAUUUUUUUUGUUACCAGUUCUGAAAAUGGUCCUCUGUAAUCCAGUCAUGUCUUUUUCUCUUGAUAUGCAGGAAAUGUUCAUGAACUGAAUGCUUUUGCUUUUAGCCAAAGUGGCUGUGCUGAGGCUUGGGAAAGCCAGACUGCUUCUCUCUGUUUCAGGGAAGGCUCCUGAAAACAAACAGGAUUAUUACUCUGUGACCAAAGAUCUAAGCAAGAUGGGGAAAGGGCCAUUUUCCCACGUUGGCCAUUAUGUUCAAGGUUGUUCCAUGAUUUUUCAACUCACCACAGAGUUGACAGCCUCAACUGUGCCACAAAACAUACCAAGCAGAAAAAUCACAGAAGUCAUGACAUCUUCCAGCCUGAAAGGGACUCAGGAAGAAGCCACUGCUGACACAGAGGGUGGAUGGAAUAAAAGAGAUUAAUUUGGGGCAGGUGAAAUUUGUACAUGGUUAACAAAGGCAUGUAGAUAUUCAUAGGAAACUUUUAAUUCCUGUAAAAUCAGAUGAAGAUGGUAGCUCUCUCUGAGGGUUGAGAGGACACGUACUGACCUUUAAUCCAUGUAGAAAAAAAGGCCAUACUUGGGAGUUAUUGUAGGGUUGCAUCAAGUAAACCCAUUCUUAUAUAUUUUCUGACAAAUCAAUUAUUUUGGUGCACAUGGAGCUGAAAAAGAGUGAAAUGGGUCACAUUCUUGCUGUUUGGCAGCAAGUAGGAGGCUCAGCACCACUGGAAUCAAUGAUAUUUUCAUUUGUGUGAGCCAGCAUGAAUUGUGUCUUUGUUCACACAAACUACAUUAAAACAAAAAUGCAAGGAAAAAAGAUUGUGUUCCAUAAAUGAGCUGAAUAAUAGUGUAGGGAAAUGUUUCUGCUGUCAUUGUUUACAGUGGAAAGUAUCUUAGUGGCAUUUCAUACAUUCACAGCCACUGAGAAGUUUUUUAAAAUAAUGUAUUGUUAGGAAAAUUAAUGUAUUUUUGGAAAAUUAACUUGUUUCCUAAUCAAGUACACAUCAGUCUUUUAUGAUUUAUACAAACAAUAGGGUUUUUGUAUACACAUAGGCUAACAUUAACUUUUUGAUUUUCAAAAUCUGAUGUCCAGUGCUACGCACCAGUCUUCAGCCAAUUUUACAAAUUGACGGAAUAUCUUUCAUUUGGAAGAAUGGAUGCUUGUUUUGAAGUGGAGCCUCUCAAAAUCAAUGGUGUUUUUGAAGAUGAUUGAACCAUGAUUAAACCAACAAGGGCUUCAGCUGUAGCUUUUCCCAAGAAUUUCAAGAUACAAAUAGGGUUUUUUUGGGGUGUCAUUUGGAUAGAUCAGUGCUUGUUUGACAAAAUCUGCAUCUUACACAAACUCCUUACAGGUCUAGCUGCAUAGCUGAGAAACCUGGCUGUUGUCUGCUUCCUCCAUCUGUCUUCAACUCCCCUGCCAGGCAUGGAAAAGUGGAAAAGAAGCAGGCUGCAUGGCUCACUUUCUAGGUCAGAAAUCAGGAAUUUUUAUUUCCCUUCUAGCUCUGUUGGUCUAUUUCCCAACUUUUUUGUGUUAUACUGCUAACAAGUUUUUGAGUUUUGAAAACACUUGGCUCUUAAAAACAUACCUGCAUUGUCAACUCCUGGGUAAGCAGGAAAGCAGCAGUGUGCCCAGAACUGGUUGUUGUGUUGCUGGAAGAGCUGGGGAAACUGGGUCUUCAGGUUUCACACAUGAAAAUCACAGAAUGGGUCAGAUUGGAAGGGACCACAGUCAUCUGGUCCAGCCUCCCUGCUCAGCAAGGGUCAUCCCAGAGCACAUCAGGAUUGUGUCCAGAUGGUUUGUGAAUAUCUCCAGUGAGGAAGACUCUGCAACCUCUCUGGGCAAUCUGUUACAGUGCACAGUUUCCCACACAGUAAAGUUCUCUCUCAUAUGCAGGUGGAACUUCCUGUGCAUCAGUUUCUGUUGCCACUUGUCCUAUUGCUUGGCACCACUGAGAAUAUCCCAGACACUUCUGCUUUAAAUAUUCAUACUCAUUGAUGGGGUCCCCUCUCACUCAUCUCUUAAAGCAGAACAGGCCCAGCUGCCUCAGCCUUUCAAGUGACCCAAGACUCAUCAUGGGCUUGUUUUCUCUGCUAUUUCUGACCUAAGUGGGUCUCUGAGUGCUGCCUAGUGCUGCCUUUUCUAUCCGUGUUUGGUUUCUGCAGAAAUCCUGAAUUAAUCCAUCUGGGCUUUUUGUUUUACUUCUACACCCACAGUAUUUGAAAAACCCUGAACAAUCCAAACCAAAAGCAAACACCUGGGUACCACAGGAAUGUUAAGUCCUAUUGAGCCUUGCACAUACUUUGUACAGUAUUAUUCCUUGUUAUUCAAGUGGUUUUGUCUUAUAUGGUACAAAGUGAUUAUGACUACUGAUGUUUCCAGUAUUGAGGAAACAACUGUUAUCCUACUUGUACUAUCUACAGUGAGAUACUGGUAUGCAGGAUAUGCACUGGAUUCCACUGUGCUGAUCUCUCUCCACUGCACUCUUACCCCUCAGCUUCUCUGUGCCACUGGAAAAAUUAUUUCUUAAGUAAUUUUACAAAGUUUUGCAAAAUAUCAGAAUCUCUAUUAUAUCAGAGUGUGUUUUCUUCUAAAUCAAUAACACAGAUUCAUUGAAAUGGUGGCCUGGAAGGGAUUUUUUGUCUACUUGCUCUGUGUUACUGUGCACGUUAGGUGUACCUGUAUUCAAAGUCAUGCCUUAUCACUCUCUGAUGUGUUUAUUAAAAUAUAUAGUGAGGAAGAACUACAUGUAUUUUUCUCUUUGAUAUCAAGAAAUUUUCCCUCCCAUCCAGUUGAAGGGAUGAGAAAUGUCUACUCUGUUAGACAGUAAUUUUAUUUGUGCUCAUUCUCUGGAAGACACAAGAAACAAUUACUACUGCCCUUUACAAUAACCAACAACAAAGUCAGUUAAAAUUAUUCUGAUUGCAACACCCCCUGAUAUGCUGUAUUUUCUUCUGUAUGUAAUUUUUAUUACUGUUUUACAGACUCCUCAGGACCUCAUGUGAGAUGUUGUUUAUGUUGGAUAAACCAGAAUAAAACUGAGUAACUGCA